UGUCAACUAAGAAUUGUAAACUUUAAAUUGUUCUUGAAUGUGCGAAAAAUGUAAGGCAACUCAUGCUUUGAUUAUAGUGGGCAUUGUGGGCGUAACCCUUCUUAUUGGACUCCUACGACAUGCCUCAGUACAUUUGAUAUUAUUUUACUUACCCCCGUCGUCAUGGUUAUUGGAUUUGCUUACACAAUCAAACUAAUGAAUUUAUAAAUUUUGCGCUGUUAGCAAUAUUUGCUAUACCAAUUUGCUGUAUAUAUGCGUUUGUGGUGAGGAUAAGAAUUCUACUUGAGCUUUGGAGCUCUUUGAAAAUAUUUUGGAAAAUGGGUAACAUAUUUCUUCUCACGUUUCUAGCUGUGUAUCCUUGCUGUUGGCUAUUAUUUAUUCUCUACUUUUAUUAUGACUUGUACAAAAAACAUUGAGCUCAUACUAUUUCUUGAAGCGAAAGGCAUUCGCACUCCCUGAAGUGUUUCUGGUAAUGGUGGAAAAUAUUUGAAGAAUGGCCGACCCAACAGUUAUGGCGAAAAACUGUUGCUAAAGUUCCUAUUCACAAACGUGAUUAGCUGAAAAUUUGAUGCCGAGCUUCUAAUGAAUGAAAAUCAUUGGAAAGUUUGCCGCUGGCAAGCUCCGCUAAUAAGACACAUUGUCUAGCCAAAGGAUCUGGUCGAAGCGACAGGGUGCACGCGAAUCGCCGACAUUGUGUAUCUAGAAAUAUUUCGCAACAAAUUAUUCAACACUUUGCAUGCACACCAAAUGGCUGUGAGGAUGGAGGCGACUUGGCGAUGAACAUGGACAACAUGAGGCGACGGCGACGACUGCGACUGCGACGACUCUUGGCCCCCGACUCGAAUGCUUGAUGGCCACUCCGGAAUCCGGAUCGGAUCGGCUUGGAUCGCCCAGCUCCCAUCUCCCAUCUCCAAUCACCCAUCUCCUAUCCCCAAAGUCCCAGCUCCCAACUCCAAGCCCAUUCCCUUUAGCCCUGUCAUCGUCUUGUCUCCGCAGCGCACUGCUGUUUGUCAUUUCCUUCGGCUGCGGCUUGUUAAGUGCUGUUGGAAUUUGCCAUAUUGCCGCAGUUGCAUCCAUCGGACGACAUGGAUAUCUGCUAGUCGGUAGCCAGCCGGGGCAAACGUAAAUCAUGCCAAUUUAAAUGAGUGCAACCUGCGUUUUGACACUUGUCAUUGUCAUGGACCCCAAAUGUGGCCUCCGUUUGAUUGCCACUCCGUGAUCCGCAGACUGCAUGCCGUCGUCUUCAUUGCCGGCAGCUUCAGCACCACUCCCCAAUCUGCACAGAAAAAUAUUUUUAAAUUACAAAUAUAUCAAUUUUAUGAACUAUCAUAAGUGCUACACAAAGUGUCUGCUCACUUUAUAGC
Drosophila gunungcola (fruit fly) is the source of this 1364-nucleotide RNA transcript. RefSeq lists it as uncharacterized. NCBI's taxonomy places the organism in Eukaryota, Metazoa, Arthropoda, Insecta, Diptera, Drosophilidae. The record is from RefSeq and is a predicted model, not a curated record. The transcript has 5 exons.